Molecule: transfer RNA, 75 nt
Filed under: Bacteroidaceae bacterium
Lineage: Bacteria; Pseudomonadati; Bacteroidota; Bacteroidia; Bacteroidales; Bacteroidaceae
Description: tRNA-Val
Rfam family: tRNA
About the family: Transfer RNA (tRNA) molecules are approximately 80 nucleotides in length.
Source: RNAcentral
GGGCGUUUAGCUCAGCUGGUUUAGAGCUUCUGCCUUACAAGCAGAGGGUCGGCGGUUCGAAUCCGUCAACGCCCA